AAAGUCUUAAGUUAAUUAAACUAAUAACCUUCAAAGUUGUAAAUAAAAAAUAAUUUUUUAGAUUUUA
RNAcentral lists this transfer RNA (67 nucleotides) under Pteroxanium insularum. Its description in RNAcentral is "tRNA-Trp". The record is from RNAcentral. Lineage: Eukaryota; Metazoa; Arthropoda; Insecta; Psocodea; Lepidopsocidae.